GUGCCAGCAGCCGCGGUAAGACGAACCGAGCGAACGUUGUUCGGAAUCACUGGGCUUAAAGGGCGCGUAGGCGGGUGACUAAGUCUGUGGUGAAAUCCGGCAGCUUAACUGUCGAAUUGCCAUGGAUACUGGUUGUCUCGAGGGAGGCAGGGGUGCGCGGAACUAAUGGUGGAGCGGUGAAAUGCGUUGAUAUCAUUAGGAACUCCGGUGGCGAAGGCGGCGCACUGGUCCUCUUCUGACGCUGAGGCGCGAAAGCCAGGGGAGCAAACGGGAUUAGAUACCCCUGUAGUCC
Molecule: ribosomal RNA, 292 nt
Filed under: uncultured bacterium
Lineage: Bacteria
Description: partial 16S ribosomal RNA
Rfam family: Bacterial small subunit ribosomal RNA
Source: RNAcentral